AACUUGUUGCAAUGGAUCACGGGGCUCUCGCGUCGAUGAAGAACGCAGCGAAAUGCGAUAAGUAAUGUGAAUUGCAGAAUUCAGUGAAUCAUCGAAUCUUUGAACGCACCUUGAGCUCUUUGGUAUUCCGAAGAGCAUGCCUGUUUGAGUGUCAUGAAAAUAUCAACCUUGACUUGGGUUUAGUGCUCUUGUCCUGGCUUAGAUUUGGCUGUUUGCCGCUCGAAAGAGUCGGCUCAGCUUAAAAGUAUUAGCUGAAUCUGUCUUUGAGACUUGGUUUGACUUGGCGUAAGAAGUUAUUUCGCUGAGGACAAUCUUCGGAUUGGCCGAGUUUCUGGGACGUUUGUCCGCUUUCUAAUACAAGUUCUAGCUUGCUAGACAUGACUUUUUUAUUAUCUGGCCUCUAAUCAGGUAGGACUACCCGCUGAACUUAAGCAUAUCAAUAAGCGGAGGCU
RNAcentral lists this unclassified non-coding RNA (452 nucleotides) under uncultured Cryptococcus. RNAcentral describes it as "sequence contains ITS2". The stretch from base 1 to 154 matches the Rfam family "5.8S ribosomal RNA". The record is from RNAcentral. Lineage: Eukaryota; Fungi; Basidiomycota; Tremellomycetes.